CUGCGAAAGGGCAAAGUGUGGGCAGCUCAAAGUUAGAGAUUAAACACAUAGUGUACAGAUGGACGGGAGCAAAUUUUCCAUAAUCUACAACAAAACGCUGAUCAAGAGUCGCUGGGUUUAAUAGAGGACUGACAGCGCCUGCAGUCACCACCUCUCAUUAACCAGCAGGAGUUAAAGAACCCAAAGCCACAUAAAUCGCUGCGAUAUAAAGUUUCGCAGGGCAGACAGAGGGACAGACAGAGGGGGAUAGAAGCCCUUUCACCGGGAACAUCUGGAACUUUCCAGCCUCUCCAGAUAGAGACACACACCAUUUUGAGGAUAUGAAAGCUGUCACAUCUUUUAUAUGGCGGCACUCUCAUUAAAGACUGGGAGGGCGUGCGCCACGAUCAUCAUUCUGAAAAGCGAGAUGUACGCUGAUUGGCCAGCUAUCCAGUGCAUUGUGAUUGGCUGAAUGCCUCAAGCGUGUGACGGAAAUGUUACGCCCCUUGCCAUACUGUGAUGCCGUCUCCCGGAACGACAAGGACUUACGAUCCACUCCCACACUCCUCUGACAGACGGAAGAUUCACACCAGGGACUGGCCAUUACAAGUUUUAACAUCUGAGGUUUGGGUUUUCAUUAGUGCACUUGUCUGUGUGUGUUUCCACAUAGCAAAGCAUGCUUCUACUGUAUGCAUAUGCUUAUUAACCUUUUUUUUUUUUAAUCUGACACGGUUGUUACCUAACUGA
Cyprinus carpio (common carp) is the source of this 726-nucleotide long non-coding RNA. Lineage: Eukaryota; Metazoa; Chordata; Actinopteri; Cypriniformes; Cyprinidae. The record is from Ensembl.